AUUGAACGCUGGCGGCAGGCCUAACACAUGCAAGUCGAGCGGAUGACGGGAGCUUGCUCCUUGAUUCAGCGGCGGACGGGUGAGUAAUGCCUAGGAAUCUGCCUGGUAGUGGGGGACAACGUUUCGAAAGGAACGCUAAUACCGCAUACGUCCUACGGGAGAAAGCAGGGGACCUUCGGGCCUUGCGCUAUCAGAGGAGCCUAGGUCGGAUUAGCUAGUUGGUGGGGUAAUGGCUCACCAAGGCGACGAUCCGUAACUGGUCUGAGAGGAUGAUCAGUCACACUGGAACUGAGACACGGUCCGGACUCCUACGGGAGGCAGCAGUGGGGAAUAUUGGACAAUGGGCGAAAGCCUGAUCCAGCCAUGCCGCGUGUGUGAAGAAGGUCUUCGGAUUGUAAAGCACUUUAAGUUGGGAGGAAGGGCAGUAAGCUAAUACCUUGCUGUUUUGACGUUACCGACAGAAUAAGCACCGGCUAACUCUGUGCCAGCCGCCGCAGUAA
This 500-nucleotide ribosomal RNA is filed under the name uncultured bacterium. RNAcentral describes it as "partial 16S ribosomal RNA". It matches the Rfam family "Bacterial small subunit ribosomal RNA", at positions 30 to 523 of the family's 1533-position model. The record is from RNAcentral.